This 252-nucleotide ribosomal RNA is filed under the name uncultured bacterium. RNAcentral's name for it is "partial 16S ribosomal RNA". It matches the Rfam family "Bacterial small subunit ribosomal RNA", at positions 524 to 776 of the family's 1533-position model. The record is from RNAcentral.
UACGUAUGUCGCAAGCGUUAUCCGGAUUUAUUGGGCGUAAAGCGCGUCUAGGCGGUUUGGUAAGUUUGAUGUGAAAAUGCGGGGCUCAACGCCGUAUUGCGUUGGAAACUGGCAAACUAGAGUACUGGAGAGGAGGGCGGAACUACAAGUGUAGAGGUGAAAUUCGUAGAUAUUUGUAGGAAUGCCGAUGGCGAAGGCAGCCCACUGGACAGAGACUGACGCUGAAGCGCGAAAGCGUGGGGAGCAAACAGG